RNAcentral lists this long non-coding RNA (674 nucleotides) under Heterocephalus glaber (naked mole-rat). Its description in RNAcentral is "lncRNA (ENSHGLG00000044942.1)". The record is from RNAcentral. Lineage: Eukaryota; Metazoa; Chordata; Mammalia; Rodentia; Bathyergidae.
GGUCGGGGUCAACGGCUGCUCUUUCUAGCUAAGUAGGUCGACCCCAUUUAAGCCUCAGUCCCGGUUAGCGUCUCUCUGACUGAGAGGAAACUUCUUUCAGUCUCGAGUAGGUCUGACCUGCCUCUUUGUUGGCUACGCAGUCUCAGAAGCCUGCCCAUUUACUUUGCAAACCGGACAGUGAUGUGGAACUUAGUCCUGCAAAUGAGCUGGGGUAAGGUAAUCAGUAUUCUCAGCUCUCUAUGCCUGAGGUAGAACAUCUGCCCUGUGAAUGGGGGCUGGCUAAAGGAAGCAAGCCUCUGAACUCUUGUCUGUACUCAUCAAAAUUUGUAUUGGAUGUGAUGAGUAUCCCUUCAAAUUUGUGUUGGACUUGAGGAAUGCUGGUUGCUUGCACUUCCCAUUGAGACACUAUAUCCCUUGAUUGAGAGCUGGAGGCAGAGGGAAUCCAGUCCUCUUGGCUAUUCUUACCAGGAAUGUAACUUGCAUCAAGGACAAUUUGCAGCAGUUUCCAACUGAAAAAAUACUCUUUGCCAGUUAUGGAUGUUUCACUUAGGGGACAGUUCCAUAGGGUUUUUUUAUGCCACAGUUAUGGAAGUGGAUCCCUUUCCCUACACUGACUUUUUUAGUAAAGUGAAAUUUUAUGAAGGUGAAAGAAGCCUGGCCUAAGCCAUGUGGAU